GUACUGUACUGUACUGUACUGUACUGUACUGUACUUGUUUUAGACGAUUUUGUAUAUACAAUUACAUUAUGUAUUGUGUUUUGUUUAUAUGAUUUUUAUAUUACAGUACUGUAUUCUUUCUUCUAUAAAAUUUUGUAUCAGAAGUCACAUUCAGUAUAAUACGCGUACUGUAGUUCCUUAUGUUGACCACCUCCAUAGGUUGACCAGUUUGUUACAGUCCCCUGGGUGGUCAACAUACAGAGGUUCUACUGUAUUAUAUUUAAAUAAAUUUGGAAAUAUUAAUUUAUUGAGUGUUUCACAAAUAAGAUCAGAAAUGUAUAGAUCACUGUUUGUUUUAAUGAGUAAAUAUGAUUGUCACUAACGAC
Molecule: long non-coding RNA, 365 nt
Filed under: Androctonus crassicauda
Lineage: Eukaryota; Metazoa; Arthropoda; Arachnida; Scorpiones; Buthidae
Source: RNAcentral